ACCGGGCGCGGUGGCGCAUGCCUGUAGUCCCAGCUACUCAGGAGGCUGAGGUGGGAGGAUCACUUGAGCCCAGGAGUUCUGGGCUGUAGUGCACUAUGCCAAUCAGGUGUCCGCACAAAGUUCAGCAUCAAUAUGGUGACCUCCCGGGAGCAAGGGACCACCAAGUUGCCUAAGGAGGGGUGAACCCGCCCAGGUCGGAAACGGAGCAGGUCAAAACUCCCGUGCUGAUCAGUAGUGGGAUCAUGCCUGUGAAUAGCCACUGCACUCCAGCCUGGACAACAUAGCGACACCCNNNNNNN
This 299-nucleotide signal recognition particle RNA is filed under the name Cebus imitator (Panamanian white-faced capuchin). Its description in RNAcentral is "Metazoan signal recognition particle RNA (ENSCCAG00000000690.1)". It matches the Rfam family "Metazoan signal recognition particle RNA". Rfam says of the family: The signal recognition particle (SRP) is a universally conserved ribonucleoprotein. The record is from RNAcentral. Lineage: Eukaryota; Metazoa; Chordata; Mammalia; Primates; Cebidae.